UACGGGGGGAGCAAGCGUUGUUCGGAUUUACUGGGCGUAAAGGGCGCGUAGGCGGUCAGCACAAGUCAGUUGUGAAAUCUCCGGGCUUAACUCGGAAAGGUCAACUGAUACUGUGCGACUAGAGUGCGGAAGGGGCAACUGGAAUUCUCGGUGUAGCGGUGAAAUGCGUAGAUAUCGAGAGGAACACCUGCGGCGAAGGCGGGUUGCUGGGCCAUCACUGACGCUGAGCUGCGAAAGCUAGGGGAGCAAACAGG
Molecule: ribosomal RNA, 254 nt
Filed under: uncultured bacterium
Lineage: Bacteria
Description: partial 16S ribosomal RNA
Rfam family: Bacterial small subunit ribosomal RNA
Source: RNAcentral